Molecule: non-coding RNA, 72 nt
Organism: Dipodomys ordii (Ord's kangaroo rat)
Lineage: Eukaryota; Metazoa; Chordata; Mammalia; Rodentia; Heteromyidae
Source: Rfam
GGGAAGAUGGCUCAGUGGUAGAGUGCUUGCCUUGCAUGCAUGAGGCCUUGGGUUCGAUUCCUUAUCACUACA